Molecule: small RNA, 1518 nt
Filed under: Pongo abelii (Sumatran orangutan)
Lineage: Eukaryota; Metazoa; Chordata; Mammalia; Primates; Hominidae
Description: processed transcript
Source: RNAcentral
CUAGGGCGCUGCAGGGUCGCGAGGAAGUUUGUUGGCCCGGAACCAAGCACGCCGUCGGGCACGGCAGCUCCCCGAGAGCAGGCGGGCGCAUCCGUGGCCACUUGUUCACAUGGUUUCAAGGCAUAAUGAGUCUCACUGGCCCUUGGAAACUUUGGCUUUGGAUGUCAAUAUUCCUGCUUCCUGCUUCCACUUCCGUGACCAUUAGGGACAAGACAGUAAAUCUCGCUGCUGCUCACUCUUUGAGUCCGCACCACCUUUAAGAGCUGUAACACUUGCCGCGAAGGUCCACGGCUUCAUUCUUGAAGUCAAUGAGACCACAAACCCACCAGAAGGAAGAAACCCUGGACACAUCGGAAGGAACAAACUCCAGACACACCAUCUUUAAGAGCUGUAACACUCACUGCGAAGGUCUGCAGCUUCAUUCUUGAAGUCAGCGAGACCAAGAACCCACUGGAAGGAACCAACUCCGGACACAGUUUUACAUAGGAUUUAUAUGUCGGUCACUCCCAAAUGUACUUCACAGCCCUCACCUCUCUUUUGAAUUCCAUUCCUAACUGUCUAUUUGAUAACUCCAUCAUUUCAAUUUCUUAAUGGCACGUCAGAUUUAACAUUUCUAAUUUCUCCUCUUUCCCACUACAGAUUAACUUACUCCUUGCUAAGUUUUCUUUUAUUUUUCUAGUGGGAUUUAUUUCAGUCAACUAAUCUCCCUCCUCCCUACAUUCAGUCCCUUAUCAUCUCCUGUUGGUUCUUGUAUCUCUCAAUUCCUUCACAUGAAAUUGAAGAUGUUUUCCAUUUUCAGUGUCAUCUCUAGUCCAAGCUACCAUCAUAUCUGGCAUCACAGAGUGUGGCCGUAUGACUAAGUUUACCAGGUAAAAUACAGGAUGCCCAGUUAAAUUUGAAGUUUAAACAAUAAAUACUUUUUUAGUAUAAGUAUGUUCCAAAUAUUGCGUGGGACAUACUUGUACUAAAAAUAUUUUUAUUUAUCUGACAUUCACAUUUAACUGGGAAUCCUGUAUUUUAUUAGCUAUGUUUGGUAAUUUUAUAUAUGUGACGGAGAAGAGGUUAUUUAUUACACAGAGUGGUCAGGGAAGGCUGCCCUCCAACCUCACUGGGCAGGCUGGUUGGAGUUUCUCCAAAGACCCACUCCCACCUGGCUGUCUCAUUCCUCCCUCUAAAAAAGUACAUCUAAUUGCUGUUACAUUAAGGAUAAGGAUGAAGACUGAUCUCAAUUUCUUCCUGCUGACAGGGGGUGCUGUUUUGGGGAAACGGAAGUCAGAGCUCCCUCAGAGGCCUAUCUAAGGGUUCCUAGCAGAAGGGGCCAUUGUCAGAGGCUCCAGUUGCAUGACCAUUUGGAGUUUGAUGGCCUGAAGGCAAGAACAGACAAACCUGGUUAUUAGAAAACACGUAUCAACAUGAAACAAGGGGAGGGAUAAGGACAGCUCAAAAAUUCCAAGGCCUUUUACCAGUUUGCACAGGGAGAGGGAGGCCAAACACCUAACUAGCAAAAAAAAAAAAAAA